CCUACGGGUGGCAGCAGUGAGGAAUAUUGGACAAUGGACGCAAGUCUGAACCAGCCAUGCCGCGUGCAGGAAGACGGCUCUAUGAGUUGUAAACUGCUUUUGUACGAGGGUAAACGCAGAUACGCGUAUCUGUCUGAAAGUAUCGUAAGAAUAAGGAUCGGCUAACUCCAUGCCAGCAGCCGCGGUAAUACGGAGGAUGCGAGCGUUAUCCGGAUUUAUUUGGUUUAAAGGGUGCGCAGGCGGCGAGUUAAGUCAGCGGUAAAAUUUCGGGGCUCAACCCCGACGAGCCGGUGAAACUGGCUUGCGAGAGAGGGCGAGAAGUAUGCGGAAGGCGUGGUGUAGCGGUGAAAUGCAUAGAUAUUACGCAGAACUCCGAUAGCGAAGGCAGCAUACCGGCGCCCAACUGACGCUCAGGCACGAAAGCGUGGGUAUCGAACAGGAUUAGAUACCCUGGUAGUC
This 459-nucleotide ribosomal RNA is filed under the name uncultured bacterium. Its description in RNAcentral is "partial 16S ribosomal RNA". It matches the Rfam family "Bacterial small subunit ribosomal RNA", at positions 338 to 795 of the family's 1533-position model. The record is from RNAcentral.